RNAcentral lists this small RNA (246 nucleotides) under Paenibacillus sp. cl6col. RNAcentral's name for it is "BsrG". It matches the Rfam family "BsrG". From Rfam's summary of the family: bsrE, bsrG and bsrH pair through intermolecular interactions with antisense sRNAs. Lineage: Bacteria; Bacillati; Bacillota; Bacilli; Caryophanales; Paenibacillaceae. The record is from RNAcentral.
UACAAUAGAAUGGCUUUAUGGGCGGUCGGCUAAUCUCCCUGAAGGGAGGUGAAGCCUGUGAGUGUAUAUGAAGCACUAUCCGUUAUGUUUCAGUUCGGACUGUGGAUAUUGGCGUUGCUAACAUUGAUUGUAACGCUGCUAAUAUACUUGCACCAAAAGAAAUAGACCGCCCUCAGCAAAAGGUAUGCGGUCUAUUUUAACGUAAACCUAUAGCCACCGCCUUUGAAGCGGCUAUUGUACAGAGUC